UACGUAGGUCCCGAGCGUUGUCCGGAUUUAUUGGGCGUAAAGCGAGCGCAGGUGGUUUAUUAAGUCUGGUGUAAAAGUCCAUCGCUUAACGGUGGAUCCGCGCCGGGUACGGGCGGGCUUGAGUGCGGUAGGGGAGACUGGAAUUCCCGGUGUAACGGUGGAAUGUGUAGAUAUCGGGAAGAACACCAAUGGCGAAGGCAGGUCUCUGGGCCGUUACUGACGCUGAGGAGCGAAAGCGUGGGGAGCGAACAGG
Molecule: ribosomal RNA, 253 nt
Filed under: uncultured bacterium
Lineage: Bacteria
Description: partial 16S ribosomal RNA
Rfam family: Bacterial small subunit ribosomal RNA
Source: RNAcentral